Molecule: small RNA, 29 nt
Filed under: Bombyx mori (domestic silkworm)
Lineage: Eukaryota; Metazoa; Arthropoda; Insecta; Lepidoptera; Bombycidae
Description: ovarian small RNA-3685
Source: RNAcentral
UGAUCAAACUUUUCACCGUCUAUACACCC